Molecule: long non-coding RNA, 1326 nt
Filed under: Homo sapiens (human)
Lineage: Eukaryota; Metazoa; Chordata; Mammalia; Primates; Hominidae
Description: LNC_000160
Source: RNAcentral
GGGGUUUCACCAUGUUAGCCAGGCUGCUCUUUAACUCCUGGCCUCAAGUUGAUAUGCCUGCCUUGGCCUCCCAAGUACUGGGAUUACAGGCGUGAGCCACCGUGCCCGGCCUCAAACUAUAUUUUCUAAUUAGUACAGUAAAUACACAUUAAUCAUGACACAAUUAUUUCUUCUGGAUACAGCAGGAAAAAUUAAGUUAAGAGAAAGUGCUUCAUAUUUCUUGAUUUGUUAUAAAAAGGAGAGAUCCUCUAGAUUUCUGGGUAAGAGGGAAAGCUAGCAAUCCCACAAUGAUUUCCUUUAUUUCUUGCCAUCCGAAUAUAUCCUUCUUCACCAAAGUUGUGGCCCCAGCUGUUUUUCACAAGCCAGUAUUCUUUCCCAUUAAGAUCACCAUAGCCAACCACAAGUACACCAUGAUUCACAUUCUGAGUACAGGAUGGUUCAUAGUAGACACCACUUCUGUAGAGGAAGAAAGAAGGAUGACGCGCAUCUACACCAACAGACACUGGGCCUUUAUUGGCCACAGCUUCUUUCAGGACAUCUUCUCUGCCAUAAGGAAGUUCAGUGUACUUUGAACAUGUGGCAGCACGAUAUUUUGAGUCAUAUUGACAUUUCUGAUCCAUGGCUUUGUAGGGAUAGGAAGCGUCUGAGUCGAUGCCCUUGUUAUCAAUGAUGUACUGGAAAGCCGUUGUCAUGAAGCCACCAUUGCAGCCUUUGUUUCCAUAUUUUUCAGUUGAGCAAUCCACCAGGUUCUGGGCACUGAGAGACACCAGCUUUCCUGUUUUCAGCUUCAGCUGUGCUUCCAGGGCCCCCACAGCACUGAAAGCCCAGCAAGCACCACAAGAACCUUGAUAUUUCACUUCAGUAACACACCCUUUCUCUCUCCAGUCCACAGAAUCAGGCAAUAUCCGAUUAGGGUUUGACUUAUAUGUGAUAUUUCUCUGCCACUGGCUGGGAACUCUCAGGGAACUCAUCAAAGACAUCACUUCUUCACUGGUCAUGUCUCCCAGGUGGUUCAUGCCCAGAUCGUAUGAGUGCAUUCCCAUUGAAUGCUCCAGGUUGUGAAGCAUCACAAACUUUAGAUUCUUUUCCCAGAUGAGACGUCGUACUGCUUCUUCAUUCUUUUCCUUGUAUUGUUUGCCAUAGGUUUUCUUCCAGAGAUGCCAGUGGUGAUCCAGGGUAGGAUCUUUAUGCAACUGUGCCACUGCAGAGGAGCACACCAAGAGCACACAAACCAGCCGUUUCAUUGUGAUAGAACCAGCAGUUGCUCCCACAGUAAGAGUCCUUGAAUUAGUGGGCUCUCUUCUAAGAUUUCAAAGCAACAAGGAG